GGACUUCACAUGGCUGGCUUUGAAGAUGGAAGGAAUGGACUGGGAGCCAGGGAAUGUGGCAGCCUCUAGAAGCUGGGAAUGGGCCUCAGGGUACAGGAAGCAAGACGACGAGGCUUUGCUGGGAAGAUGGCGUGGCUGGGUGCAGAGAGGCUGGGGCUGCGGACAGGCAUGGGCUGCACUGGCAGGAAGCCGCAGCUGCAAGGAGCUCACCGAGGGCCUGGCCCCACUGCAGCUACACGGGCACAGGUUUAACUUAAAGAAAAAGAAGAGAAAAGAAAAGACGAUGAGACUUUUACUGAGACAUAACUGACAUGCAGCACUGCAUAAGUUUAAGGUGUGAUGCAUAAUGCUUUGAAUUCCAUACAUCAUGAAUGAUUAUCACGGUCUUCAGACUUGAAUGGGGUUGUGGAAAAGAUGGCUAUUACCUGGCAGAAGUCAAGGAAGCUGAGACUCACUUCAGAAGCUGAAGCCUGAAAGUGCAGCUUCGGGAAAUGUGAUGGGAGUCUGGAAAAUGAGGUUCCUUGUCAUUUUAUUUUUUUGACAUGUUUAAAAAAAGUUAUUGAAGUAUAUAGUUGAUUUACAAUGUCGUGUUAAUUUCUAUUGCACAGCAAAGUGAUUCAGUAUCUUUUUCACCAUAUUUUCCAUUAUGGUUUAUCACAGUAUAUCGAAUAUAAUUCUCUCGCUAUACAGAAGGAUCUUAUCUAUUCUAUAUAUAGUAGUUUGCAUCUUUUAGUCACAAACUCCCAAUCCAUCCCUCCCUCCACCCUGACCCUUGGCAACCACAAGUCUGUUCUCUAUCUCUGUGAGUCUAUUUCUGUUGUGUAGAUAAGUUCAUUUGUGUCAUAUUUUAGAUUCCACAUAUAAGUGCUAUGCUAUGGUAUUUGACUUGAACUUUCUGACUUCAUUAGUAUGAUAAUCUCUGGGUCUGUCCAUGCUAUUGUAAAUGGCAUUAUUUCAUUCUUUUUUAUGGCUGAGUAGUAUUUCAUUGUAUAUAUGUACCAACUCUUCUUUAUCCAUUCAUCUAUUGAUGGACAUUGCGUUUGUUUUAUGUCUUGUCUGUUAUGAACGGUGCUGCUAUGAAAAUAAGGGUGCACAUAUCUAAUCAAAUUAUAGUUUUGUCCAGAUAAAUGCCCACAAGUGGGAUUGCUGGAUUAUACAGCAACUAUGUUUUUUGUUUUUUGAGGAACCUCUAUACUGUUCUCUAUAGUGGCUGCACUUUGCCACUUUAAAUAAAGAAGCUCCAAAUGGCCUGGCAUGAUUUCAUUUCAUAGGUAGUGGAGAUCCUUGUGGAGGGGAAUAAGUUAGGAAAAACAACCAAAAUACUGGAGCAUGGCAGAGGAAGGACCAGCAGUUAUAGCGAGCAUCUCAUACUUUUCCUUUAAAGAGAUGAUGGAGUCUCCGCUGCUCCUCAGGCUACGCACUUAGAGUCGCACAUCUACUAAGAGACUACUGCGCUGCAGGGCUUCCUUUCCAGUGUAUCUCUGGAGGUACUGCUGAGGUCAAACCUACAUGUUUGACAGCUCUCUUUCCUCCUUGCCCUCGAAGAGAUUUCGUAUCCCAAAAUGCACUCAGUGGAAUAUUUAUAGGUGUUGGGCGAAAAGAAGUUCUACUAUCGACCAAGUGGGUUAACAAAGAUAAACAAGUUUCUUUAUAGCAGGUUUCCUCAGAUCUUUUAAUUAGUGUGCAUUGCGAAUCUGGCAGAAGUUAAGGAAGCUGAGACUCACUUCAGAAGCUGAAGCCUGAAAGUGCAGCUUUCAGAUAUAGUCUGAAGCAUUUUUCCAAAACCUUUUGACCACAUUCCCUGUAUUAGUCAGGAUUCUCUUGGUUUUUAAGUGACAGAAAUCCAGCUUCAAUAGGCAUAAGCCAUAAAGGGAACUUAUUGGCUCACAGAACCAAGAAGCUAAGGUAUGGCUGAAUGUGGAGUCCUCAAAGGAUGCUACCAGCGUCCCCCUUUCUGUCUCUUGGCUCAGCUUUCCUCUAGGUUGGCUUUGUUCUCAUGAAGUCUUUAUGUGGUAGUCCCUGGCAGCUCCAGGCUUACGUUAUAGUUAUAAAUUCCACUUUGGAAAACUAGGGAACAGAACUUAUUUAAGUGAAUUGUUUUGAAUUUAGAAGUAUUUAAAUCGUAAGCAAUUAAGUUACAAUAAUGAGAUAUAAAAUGCAAUUUCUGAAGAUCUUAUUUUUUUUUUUUUAUAAAAAUCUUGAUGGCAACCUAUGGUAUGGGUGCAUGCUGGUUUAAGAUAUAAUGAAACUGCCUAAUGGGAACUGUCGCUCACAAAAAUUAAUGUGUUUGGGAACUCACUUUGCUUCCCAAUUCCCUGAAUUCUUGUAUCCCAAAUUAGUGCUU
This 2344-nucleotide long non-coding RNA is filed under the name Sus scrofa (pig). RNAcentral's name for it is "lncRNA (ENSSSCG00055000861.1)". The record is from RNAcentral. Lineage: Eukaryota; Metazoa; Chordata; Mammalia; Artiodactyla; Suidae.